AGGACGAACGCUGGCGGCGUGCUUAACACAUGCAAGUCGAACGAGGUGCUUCGGCACUUAGUGGCGAACGGGUGAGUAACACGUGAGCAACCUGCCCUUGGCUCUGGGAUAGCCUCCGGAAACGGGGAUUAAUACCGGACAUGACCUUCUUCCGCAUGGGGGAGGGUGGAAAGUUUUUCGGCCAGGGAGGGGCUCGCGGCCUAUCAGCUUGUUGGGGGGGUAACGGCCCACCAAGGCGACGACGGGUAGCC
This 251-nucleotide ribosomal RNA is filed under the name uncultured bacterium. Its description in RNAcentral is "partial small subunit ribosomal RNA". It matches the Rfam family "Bacterial small subunit ribosomal RNA", at positions 26 to 288 of the family's 1533-position model. The record is from RNAcentral.